Molecule: ribosomal RNA, 492 nt
Filed under: uncultured bacterium
Lineage: Bacteria
Description: partial 16S ribosomal RNA
Rfam family: Bacterial small subunit ribosomal RNA
Source: RNAcentral
AGUGAACGCUGGCGGUAGGCCUAACACAUGCAAUUCGAACGGCAGCACAGUAAGAGCUUGCUCUUACGGGUGGCGAGUGGCGUACGGGGUAGGAAUACAUCGGAAUCUACUUUUUCGUGGGGGAUAACGGAGGGAAACUAACGCUAAUACCUCAUACGACCUACGGGUGAAAGCAGGGGAUCUUCGGACCUUGCGCGAUUGAAUGAGCCGAUGUCGGAUUAGCGAGUUGGCGGGGUAAAGGCACACCAAGGCGAAGAUCCGUAGCUGGCGUGAGAGGAUGAUCAGCCACCCUGGAACUGGGACACAGUCCAGACUCCUACGGGAGGCAGCAGUGGGGAAUAUUGGACAAUGGGCGCAAGCCUGAUCCAGCCAUGCCGCGUGGGUGAAGAAGGCCUUCGGGUUGUAAAGCUAUUCUGUUGGGAAAGAAAAGCAGAAGGUUAUUCCCGCGCCGUUCUGACGGUACCAAAAGAAUAAGCACCGGCUAACUUCGUG